ACUCCUACGGGAGGCAGCAGUGGGGAAUAUUGCACAAUGGGCGCAAGCCUGAUGCAGCAACGCCGCGUGAGUGAUGAAGGCCUUCGGGUCGUAAAGCUCUGUCCUCAAGGAAGAAUAAAUGACGGUACUUGAGGAGGAAGCCCCGGCUAACUACGUGCCAGCAGCCGCGGUAAUACGUAGGGGCAAGCGUUAUCCGGAAUCACUGGGCGUAAAGGGUGCGUAGGCGGUUUUCAAGUCAGAAGUGAAAGGCUAUGGCUCAACCAUAGUAAGCUUUUGAAACUGUUAAACUUGAGUGCAGGAGAGGAAAGUGGAAUUCCUAGUGUAGAGGUGAAAUUCGUAGAUAUUAGGAGGAACACCAGUGGCGAAGGCGACUUUCUGGACUGUAACUGACGCUGAGGCACGAAAGCGUGGGAGCGAACAGGAUUAGAUACCCUGGUAGCACAGAG
RNAcentral lists this ribosomal RNA (446 nucleotides) under uncultured bacterium. Its description in RNAcentral is "bacterial SSU rRNA". It matches the Rfam family "Bacterial small subunit ribosomal RNA", at positions 335 to 799 of the family's 1533-position model. The record is from RNAcentral.